UGCCCCGCCCCGGAGGCCGAGCUUCCCACCUCAUGACUAUUCAGUGAGGCGUGGCCACGUCCCUCGGCGCGCUCCGCGGCGACCGGGGAGAAGUGCGCGGAGCCGGUCGGAACCAUCUGUGGCCUAGGCAGGGAAUGAGGAAUGUACCAUCUGAGGCCCCGGCCGCGCAGGGCGUCAGGCGCAGACUGUCCACGCGCGGUUAGACGCUCUUUGGGUGCAGACUCCCGCCCUUCCCGCCGCCUUGCUGCCGGAGUUCUGCUGCCCAGGUCUCCCUGGGCCCCCGUUAGAAAAGGGAUAUAAACAAGGGACAGACCAAUGGGGGUAUGGUAACACGUGUCUCUUCUACGUAGGAGGAGGAACUCAGGGAUGAGUGAACUCCAGGAGGCUGCAGAACUGAGCCUCCUACCUCCUUCAGCUAAGGCUCUUUGGAAAACUUACAAGGACUAAAUUCUAUGCUCAAGGAAUGUGCCCACCGACUCUGUGUGAACAUGCGACUCUGACCUUGAACUGAAAGUGCUCAGGAAUGUGUCUGCCUGGACAUGUGACAGUGCAUCUUCCCUCUGUGAAUAUGUGCUUGGCUUCCUACAUUUAUUGGAUUCUCCUGCUGUCACGCAAACUCCCUUGACCCACAGAGCCGAGCGUCAGCAGGACCCGGGUGAAGGUUAACCCGUCUCCUCAAAGUCCCUUCCAUUCCCUGCUCACCUGCCCCUGGGACCAACGAGUUAUAAGUAAAACCUUACUAUUUAUCAUUUAUGAGACUGGAAACGUUACACAAAUGGAUUCUAGAAAUAAAUUGUCAGCGACUGGACAACAUA
Molecule: non-coding RNA, 815 nt
Organism: Ictidomys tridecemlineatus (thirteen-lined ground squirrel)
Lineage: Eukaryota; Metazoa; Chordata; Mammalia; Rodentia; Sciuridae
Source: RefSeq, a predicted model, not a curated record